Molecule: non-coding RNA, 4040 nt
Organism: Microcebus murinus (gray mouse lemur)
Lineage: Eukaryota; Metazoa; Chordata; Mammalia; Primates; Cheirogaleidae
Source: RefSeq, a predicted model, not a curated record
CGGAGCGUUGCCGGUCAGUGCCUGUCGCGGCGUCGCUCGUGGAGCGGGGCGUCCCGAAGUGGGCCUGCGGGCGGGCGAGCGAGCGGACGACACUGCGGGUACAAAACUCAAAAGAUGAACAACGAUAUAUAUUACCAAUGUUCAAAGCUGAUUUGGCUAGAACUGGAAUACAGUUGCCUACAAUAUAUUCUAGAGGAAUUAGAAAAGUCAAAGUAAUGGAUAACAGAAAAGAGCCUCCAUUCUUCAAUGAAGAUAAUGUGGGACCAUUUUACUACAAACUUCCUUUCUGUGAUACCAUGGAGCUCUUCAUUGAAACAUUAACUGGAACAUGUUUUGAGCUGAGAGUUUCUCCCUUUGAAGCUGUUAUUUCUGUGAAAGCAAAAAUUCAAAGAUUGGAAGUUUCUUAUAGCCCAUGGGCUGUGACAGUCAAUCUGUUCUUCAUGAAGCUUCAAGAGGGCAGCCUCAUGAAAAGUAUUCCCAUCUGUCAGCAACACUUAAUUUGGAAUAACAUGGAACUUGAAGAUGAUUAUUGCUUGAAUGAUUACAACAUUUCAGAAGGUUGUACCUUGAAGCUGGUAUUGGCUAUGCGUGGUGGACCUAUAAAUACUAGACGAGUUCCUGUGGAAGAUCCACUUAGGGAGAUGGCUGAGUACCUGGAUUCCAGUCGAGAUGAGGUCUGGGAGAAGACCUCCUGCAACAAACAAAUAACAUUUUUGGUAUAUCGAGAAGGAGAUCAAUUGAAUUUCUUUUGUGUAAUAGAUAGGGGAGAUGGCACUUUAACACCAUUAUCUGAAUCUUUAAGCGGUGGUUCUGUGUAUAAUUUAUAUACGGAUGAGGAUGAAGAAAUUGAGCCUUCUCCUUCUGGACAACAGAUAAUUGAAAAUUCAAUAACUAUGAAUAAGAUGAAGCUACUGAAGGCUAAGAUGGGGAGCAUGAAUCUCAGCAAAAAGCCUAAGAAAGCUGUCAAAGUAAAACCUCGCCCACCUAUUGCUCCUCGACCAUCUAGUGGUUCCACAGCAACAGCUCGUCACAGAUUGUUAAGGGUCCUCCCCCACAUCGGGCAAUCUUGUUUACCUUCUCCUGGGAAUACAUAUCUACCUGACACAUCCAGGAGUGCAGUUUCAACAUUGGCAACUCAGCCCCCUGCCAACAGACCCAUAUCAUCUAUCACUAGUGAAUUCCUUAAGGAAGAUGAUAACUGGGAGAGUAACACACUGUCUCAUUCCAAUGGUAGCAUCAAACUACCACUGCACAUACCCCAUGUGGAGUUUGAAAAUGACAAAGAGCUUGCUGAUUCUGUUCUCCAUCUUGGAUCAUCCCUGACUAGGCGGACAAAACAUUUUUCAGGAAACUUGACAUCUAAUAAUGAGGAUGACACUGUCUCAUUUCCAACUUCAGAAGAGUGUGUAACUGAAGACUCACUUCUACCUGAAGUGGGUUCAUGUACUUCAUUUACAGAAAGAAAUGCUGAAGAACAGAGCAGUGGCAUACAGAAGGUAAAUUCAGAAUUCUUACUCACUAAUGGUGAUAAAGGGUUGAAGGCUACAGAACAGCAUCUUAAACAUGUUUCAAGAAUGUUGAGCAGUGAAUCAGUAGAGACUACUGUUCUUAACCACCGUGAAUUAAGUCCUCACAAGAAUAGACUCUUGUCACCUCUUCGCUGUUCUGCAUCAAUGUCACUACAUAAUUCUCUAGUGAAACCACAGAGACAGUCCAAAUGUUUUGAGUCUGGGAACCUCCAGUCUUCUGCUUCACAAAAUGUGCUCCGGUCAAUGGAUGUUCGAAACAUAACUGAUUCUCCUUUCUCUAGGACUGCUCGCUUUCGAGGUGUUAAAGUUGAUUCAUCUGGGAAAAGAUCUGAUAUUAUUUCCAAAGUUGAGGCUCGAGAUAUCACAGAAAUGGCUAACAAGGCUUCCAAAGAGCCUGUUGGUUGUGUAAAUAACAUUGGUUUUCUUGCUUCACUGGCCGGGAGUGCAAGCAGAGACAGUUUACAGAGCACACGUGGGGCAGGCAGGCUUCGGACUUCUGGAAUUGGGCUGUCUACAAACCUCCAGCAUUUUCAAGAAGAAAGCCUUAAGAAAAGUUCUCCCCAAUUAGAACCUACAGAAUUUUUUUUAAUGUUUUGUGUUUUAAUUGUAGUCUGCCCGUGGUAUUGGAAUGAAUGGAAAUAAUGCAGCAGCAGGGAAAAGAGUAGGAGAAUGUACUCAUCACCUCCCACCUGUGAAAGCCCCUAUUCAAACAAAGAAGAAAACAAAAAAGCAUUGUUUUCUUUGUGGAAAGAAAACAGGACUGGCUACUAGCUACGAAUGCAGAUGUGGAAAGAACUUCUGUGCAUCUCAUCGCUAUGCAGAAACUCACGGCUGCACCUAUGAUUACAAGAGUGCAGGGAGGAGAUACUUGCAGGAGGCAAAUCCUGUGAUUAAUGCACCAAAACUUCCAAAAAUCUAACUCUUCCUCUGCAUCUUACUGUUCUGCCUGAGGAAUCGUAUUAUAACAAAAGAAGAAAUAUUGUUUAGACUGCAUUAUUUUUGUCCGACUCCAAAAGAUUUGCCAAAGCCAAAUAACAAAAGCAUAUAAUGCAUACCAUUGGAGAAUGAGAAUGCUACUGUAUUUGACAUCUUUAUUCUUUGGUGAAUCAAAAGCUUUAAAAGUAGUUUUAAAAACUUUACACUAUAUGAUUUAGUUUUGUUAUUGCAUGUCUUGUGUUAAGUGUUUUGUAUUUGAUAUUGCAGUUUUGCUAGACAAGUCUUCAAAAGAUGCACUUUAGGAAGUUAAUAUUGACUGUGUAACCAGGCUUCCAUGCUGUAUGGAAAUUAGUGGUCAUGUGAUGGCUGUACUCAAAUUGACCAUUUUUUUCCCCUUCCUUUCUCUCUCUUUCUCUCUCUCUCUCUUUCUCCCUCUCUUUCUCCCUCUCUUUCUCCCUUUCUUUUUCUUUCUUUUUUUUGCAGAGGCGAAAUGGGUGGGGAUUUAAAAAUAAUAUUCCAUGUGCCCAUGUGUGAAAGUUUACUGGGUUUAUUAGCAAGUUCUUUUUUAUUUCAAGCUACUUUUUAUAAAAACAUUUGGUUUUCCCAUGUGUUUUUUAAAACAUAUAUAUUUCUUUCACAUUCAUAUUGGCAUUCAUAUAUGUAUCUAUUCUGUAAAACACAUCAUGUUAAUAGUAUAUAUUUCUUAAAAACACUAUUUUGAAUGGUAGUUUUAAAAUAGAUGUCCCACUUGUUGCUAUUAAAUACAGAAACCAACGUUUCCCUUUUUGAAAAAUGUCUACAUUUAAAACAAAAUCUCACAGCUUGAUUUGUUUUUCUUACAUGUUGAGUGCUAUUACCAGGAGAAAUUCAAAUAAAUAUUCAGUUUCAUUAUGAGUUUGAUUACUUGGUUAUUUACAAGAAUUUUUCCUUCAUAAACACAUCUUUUAUAAAACCAUUUAAUUAAAAUAAACCAGUAAUUUAUUCUCCUUGGACAAAAUGACUAUCAGUAGAAAAGUAUUCUUUUAGGUGUAAGGAUGCUGCUCCCCAGGUGUAACCAAUAUACCAUUCAGACUUUGGGGAGGCCAUUUGCUUUACAGAGGCUCAGUUGAAGCUGAUGCUGAACCAUAAUAAACAACUGAAGUGAACUGCAGCUCUGGGCUCUGCAGGGGUACCAGGAGACUAAUUUAGGGGCUAUACAGGGCCUCUUCUUCCACACAAGGUUGAUUGAACUGGAGAGCUCACUUCCUUUGCUCCCUAUGAAAGAUUAAAUGUCAGUGAAGACAGAUGUCUUCAGAGAAAGAGGGAAGUACAUUUACAAGAGGUGAUGGUGAAAAAUUAGCAAAGGAGCCAUGCAAUGAGAAGUUGAAGGCAUGCUUUUUAAGAGGAGUGGAUAUAGGUCGAUGAAAAAUAAUUUCUUCUGUGUUAGUAAUUCAGUUUUUUUCGUCUCUUACCAAGAAAACAUGUGCUUUAGAUAUUUAAAAUAUAAGAAUUCUGGUAUAUGGAUAGACUGCUGAAAAAUGGACCAAAGCAUAUUUAUUCUCUAAAUAAAUAUGAAUGCUUAGGGCAUACUUGAUA